Molecule: non-coding RNA, 740 nt
Organism: Equus caballus (horse)
Lineage: Eukaryota; Metazoa; Chordata; Mammalia; Perissodactyla; Equidae
Source: RefSeq, a predicted model, not a curated record
GGCUGCUAGGCUCUUUAUGACUGUGCUGUUGGUAGAGCUGUUUCUGCAGGAGUCAGGCUAGUAAGCAACUGGCUAGGCAGUGGAGAAAGCUUGGUCACUGUGAACCAUCUCUUUCCAGGCUCAUAUUAAAAAGCUAUACAAAGGGAUGAAGAAUGAAGAGUAAGAGAUACCUAGGGAGGUUGGAGCCUAGAAAACUGGCAGGAUGGUAAAGUACGUGACGAAGGAUCAGGAGUUGAAAAAUGGGAGGUGGAGAUUUGCUGAAUUUGAGACCAGCAAGGAGGUGCUGUUACGAUCCAGAAGCGAAUCCAAGCAGUCUGCAGAUGAAGCUGAUUACCCACACACAGAUAAAAACAGUCGAACACAAGGAUCAGCAAUCUACCACCAAAACUAGAAUUUCUCACAAGAAUGCAAUUACCUAGAUUCCAAGAAGAAUGCAAUACAUUUAGAGUUAGAAGAAAAGUUGUAAUAAAGAGAGUAUAAUCCCUUAACUCUUUAAAUCCUAGUGUUUUUAUCAGGUCGAUAAUGUACCAACUCUGAGUCUACAAUGCCCUAAUCCUAAUUGAACGUAGUGUUUUGCAUAAGCAAAGGCACUCAAUAAACACACUGGCUGAUCUUCCCUGAAGAUUAAAUAUGAUACCAAUCAGCAGACCUAGAAAAUGAGAGUCAAGGAUUGGGACCCUCUUCACCGUGUAAAAGACCAGGUUGAACGUACUCCUUUAAUAGACCUACAUUCAGAGAGA